This 753-nucleotide ribosomal RNA is filed under the name Vibrio parahaemolyticus. RNAcentral's name for it is "partial 23S ribosomal RNA". It matches the Rfam family "Bacterial large subunit ribosomal RNA", at positions 431 to 1188 of the family's 2925-position model. Lineage: Bacteria; Pseudomonadati; Pseudomonadota; Gammaproteobacteria; Vibrionales; Vibrionaceae. The record is from RNAcentral.
AUCCUGUCUGAAUAUGGGGGGACCAUCCUCCAAGGCUAAAUACUACUGACUGACCGAUAGUGAACCAGUACCGUGAGGGAAAGGCGAAAAGAACCCCUGUGAGGGGAGUGAAAUAGAACCUGAAACCGUGUACGUACAAGCAGUAGGAGCAGGCUUGUCCUGUGACUGCGUACCUUUUGUAUAAUGGGUCAGCGACUUAUAUUCAGUGGCAAGGUUAACCAUCUAGGGGAGCCGUAGGGAAACCGAGUCUUAACUGGGCGUUCAGUCUCUGGAUAUAGACCCGAAACCAGGUGAUCUAGCCAUGGGCAGGUUGAAGGUUGAGUAACAUCAACUGGAGGACCGAACCGACUAAUGUUGAAAAAUUAGCGGAUGACUUGUGGCUAGGGGUGAAAGGCCAAUCAAACCUGGAGAUAGCUGGUUCUCCCCGAAAGCUAUUUAGGUAGCGCCUCGGACGAAUACUACUGGGGGUAGAGCACUGUUAAGGCUAGGGGGUCAUCCCGACUUACCAACCCUUUGCAAACUCCGAAUACCAGUAAGUACUAUCCGGGAGACACACGGCGGGUGCUAACGUCCGUCGUGGAGAGGGAAACAACCCAGACCGCCAGCUAAGGUCCCAAAUUACUACUAAGUGGGAAACGAUGUGGGAAGGCUCAGACAGCCAGGAUGUUGGCUUAGAAGCAGCCAUCAUUUAAAGAAAGCGUAAUAGCUCACUGGUCGAGUCGGCCUGCGCGGAAGAUGUAACGGGGCUAAGUA